RNAcentral lists this ribosomal RNA (497 nucleotides) under uncultured bacterium. RNAcentral's name for it is "partial 16S ribosomal RNA". It matches the Rfam family "Bacterial small subunit ribosomal RNA", at positions 28 to 507 of the family's 1533-position model. The record is from RNAcentral.
GAUGAACGCUGGCGGCGUGCCUAAUACAUGCAAGUCGAGCGAACAGACGAGGAGCUUGCUCCUCCGACGUUAGCGGCGGACGGGUGAGUAACACGUGGAUAACCUACCUAUAAGACUGGGAUAACUUCGGGAAACCGGAGCUAAUACCGGAUAAUAUAUUGAACCGCAUGGUUCAAUAGUGAAAGACGGUUUUGCUGUCACUUAUAGAUGGAUCCGCGCCGCAUUAGCUAGUUGGUAAGGUAACGGCUUACCAAGGCGACGAUGCGUAGCCGACCUGAGAGGGUGAUCGGCCACACUGGAACUGAGACACGGUCCAGACUCCUACGGGAGGCAGCAGUAGGGAAUCUUCCGCAAUGGGCGAAAGCCUGACGGAGCAACGCCGCGUGAGUGAUGAAAGUCUUCGGAUCGUAAAACUCUGUUAUUAGGGAAGAACAAAUGUGUAAGUAACUAUGCACGUCUUGACGGUACCUAAUCAGAAAGCCACGGCUAACUACGUG